Molecule: long non-coding RNA, 7244 nt
Organism: Falco peregrinus (peregrine falcon)
Lineage: Eukaryota; Metazoa; Chordata; Aves; Falconiformes; Falconidae
Exons: 5
Source: RefSeq, a predicted model, not a curated record
AUUAUCCCAACACCUAUCCUCGCCUACAGAGAAUGACCAGUGCUGGAACUUACCAGAAGUUAAAGAAUCCAUCCCAUCCUACAGGAAUAUUGUCAGCUGGGAGGAAGCAAAGAUGGAAACCUGCAUGAAAGGGUGCUAAAAUGGAGCAGGACACGUGGACUCUGGAGCAGCUGAAACAAAUGCUGGAAAGCUGGAACAGAGUGGGCAUGGCAGGGGCGCUUGGCUGAGCCCAGAUGAGCCAAAACAACCAGCAAGGAAGGCAGUAGACCAUCCAGGGAGUUUUGUUUUAUAUUGGAGUCUGUGCCUCAGGAAACCAUUGCUGUGGGUCAGUUGUCACCCACUUGCAUAAUUAGAGUGUUGAAGACAUAAAAUUUUCAAAGAACAGUCCUUCAAAGCAAAAUCCAUUGUUACCUUGGACAUGAUGACCCAUUCUGAAAGAAGUGCAGUCUCAACAUCAGGUCAAUCCUCUUCAAAGGUGCUACUGAAGAGGUAAGUAGCAGCCCAGAAAAAAGCCUCAAGGCAAGGCUGGUUCCACAUUAGGACUGGCAUUUAAAAUCAGGUAGGGUAACAUCUCCUACCUGAGGUGACACCUGUGACACGCCUUUUAACACUUCUCAUGACUCCCAUUCAGAAAGCUGCUUUGGAAGGACUUUUCUCCCUCUCUUUAGGCUAGCUGCAGAAGGAGCAAGCUUUCAACUUCUAUCCAGCUUCAUCCCACCAAAGGUAACAGAGGUGGGUAAUGGAACAAAUAAUUACUGUACAAUUCACACUAUAAAAGUCAGGGUACCAUUAAUUUGACAGAAACUUUUGCAAAUCCAUCAUGAACACUGUGAUCAACUUUAUAGGGGAGUAUUGAAUCCACAUAUAAUGCAGCUACAUAGAUCUGUACGUAAUCAGAUUCUUAAAGGUUGCAGUUGGAGAAUUGUGAAUGUGCAGUGGUAGCGGUAACACACGAGCGUAUUUUCCAAGGGAAGAGGAUGGGAACCAUUAUAAAUAAACUGCUGAGCUACGUUCAUGCAGAAACACUAGUGUUUGCAGAUGGAUUUCACGUGGAAGGCGGACAGUUACAGUUUGAAGCCUCGCUGAUGCAAGGAGAUGUCAACUGAGGAACCAAGGCAGUUUCUAGCAGCUAUGAAGUAAUGUAAAACUAGAGAUAAUGCUGGUUUUCCUGUGCUUCCUUCAUCAGGGCAAAACACACCCCACCCCACAUUUUUUCACAUCUGUGCUGCCUCCGCAACUCAUCUCUUUGCUGCUUGUUCUCCCUUGGGUUAACAGCAAGAAGCAAUAGAGGUGAAUGGUCCAUGGAGGAAGAUGUGACAUGGAUGAGCAAUCUGAACAGGAAUCACAGCAUUUUUCCUAUACAUAUGCAAGUUACAUAUGAACUUACAAAUAUAAGGCUGUCAGUUGUCUUCUGUGUGGUACUGGAUGCAAGGAAAGGAACCAGCUACCUCCGAACAUUGGAGAGCUGGGUGCCUUGAAAGAAGAGGACAGGAGGCGGAGAUGUGCACACUUACUACCCCUAUUGCCUGUACAUAUGAUUUCAGUCAAAAAAAAAAACCAAACCCGAACUGAAAGAAUUUGGAUUUGUAAGGUAAAAGGCCAAGUGAAACGGCUCUGACAGCAAAUAUGUGGGAAAAGGAGAUUUGCCGUGUGAAAGAGGAAGUCUUUAAUUCUUGACAAGGGGGAGGGGAACAAGAAAUCUUGAGAGUUUUCAGUCCACAAGGAUUAGCUUGUAACUAUUUUAUGGUCUGUCAGUUUCUCAGAACUGGAGUGUGUUUCCACAGCAGAGAAAGAAAAAAACAAAUUGCUAUUUGUAAUACAUCAAUUAUUGUGAUAAAUCAGUUAUUUUUAUUUUAGGAUAUGACUGUAAGUAAAAUGAUUUUUCAUGUUGCAGGUAUUUAAUGUUAUUGUGAUUAAAAUUAUAAUUAAGUUACAUUUAUUAACAGAAUAAACCACUUUGAGUUUAUUAUGGCAUUCCAUUUGCCAUGUUUAGGUGAUUUAAUUACCUUAAAAGAGUAUUGAAGGAGAGCAUUUGGGAGUUUUUUCCCAAGGUAACUUUGCAAAUUAUGAUCUUAAUUUUGUUUCUGCCAUGUAGGUAAAGGAAAGAGCUUCUUCUUCAUUACAAUAACCUUGGAUUUUUGCAGUCAAGUUUCCUAACACCUUUUCUCUUUGACUUGCGUGAACUUCCCUGGACUGAUUUCCAUAUAAUAACAUUAGUAACGUAAAAACAUUUGUAAAUGUUUAAAGGGCUGAACCUAAUCAAUCGAACAAGCGAAAAAUGUGAAGAAAUAGAAUACUUGGAAAUUCACUAAUUAAUUGCAGUCAAAGUAUCAUGAUAGAAAUUACUAUUACGUUCAGAGUAUUUCCAAAAGGUUUGAGGAGCUUUAACACACCCGCAUGCACACACACACACUAUGCUCAUCGCUGAGGCAAGGGAACAGCGAUCUGUCCUUUUUCUCUGGUGUGAAAGCAGGAGAGGCGGGUGGGUACAGCAGUAAACACCUUUCUGACGUGCCAUGGGAAGGCAGGUGAUGCAGCAGUGGGAAACGUUUACCUUCUCCAGCUCCGUAAAGGAGGAUGGGGCAGUCUAUGUUGUCUGCACAAUGUGAAGGUCUUAAGCCUGUCUCUCUCCGAAAUGCAGCGCGGGAGGGGAAGGCUUUUGUUUCCUGCCUAGUGUACAGAAGCGAGGGAGGUCAGAUUCUCCCACUUCCCAGCCUGCCAACCAGCCACAAAGCAGAGCCCCACGGGAAGCUGGUCUGACACAUUGUGCUGUUAGCAGGAUUGCGAGGCAGCCCAUCUGCUGCCACUGUCCCGUUGGUGCUGUUGUACGGAAGAGCUGCCAGAGAAGGCACCUCGCUUCUGGGCUGUUUAUUGAGUCCUUGGGAAUAGGAAGCAUAGUGUGUUCAGAGGGGCUGGAGUAGACUGUGGGAAUGGGAAACCUGAUGGAUUUGGGGGCAGGGAGAAUGUGAAGCUGCUGGAUUUUCUGGGAAAGUGUGCAUGAAAUCAAUGGGCUGUUGAGGGGGGGAAGAAGGAAGAAUUUGUAAUUCAUAUAUUUGUUCUCUGAUAGGGAAAUAUAAUACUGGUGGGUUUGCUUUUGAGAGAAAAAAAAUACUAUUUGAGAAGAAGGUUACUUGCAUGACUAGAAAAUGAUUGAGGGAACCCCGUUUAAAAGAACUGGAUGCCUAAGUCUGAAUUAAUGAACUAGGAACUGCUGUUGAAACAAUGCAAGGAAUUUCCGAAGGAAAGACAGAAGGGACCUUGGAAAAGCAAGAAGGUAGGAAAAAUUAUCAAUUUAAUGAUCAAGUUCAAAACAGAUCAGAGAUACUUUUGCUAGUUUAUUUUCUCUCUGUGUGUGUUUAUACAAAUCUUUUUCCUCAGAAAUAAAUGUUUAAGUGGAAAUACAUGUAAUUAUGACCCUGUCAGUACUUUGGUUUGGAAGGAAAGGAGGACAGGAUUUUGUUUACUUUCUGAAAAAGAAAACACACCAGAACUGAACGUUGACAAGCAGGCUAUUGCUUCACUUUUCAGCUACGUGACCAUAGAAAACAUCUAGGCUGAGAUCUCAUAAGUUUUCAUUGUGUUUUCCACAGUUUUUCCACAGUUUGCUUUUGACACCUGAGAAUUCCCAAUGCCUCUAAAUGAAGAGAGGAAAGUAACAGAAAUGUAUAAAUUAUUUAAAAUGUAAAACCUAAAAGCUCUGCCCAGCUCAAAUUCUAAUGUGUCUGUCCUUAUGCAUUAUUAUUACUGGUAUUUAAAUGGUAAUGUCACUAUAAUGUCUUUGCUGUUGCUGCAGAGUGAAUUAGGAGGGGGGAUUUCACUGAUGCCAGCUGCAAUUAAGCAUGAAAUUUCAGUUUUCAUUUUACCCAUUGCCCCAGUGCUCGUACAACUUUUACCCAAACUCUCUCUGGCCAACAGGAACCUUUUUCUCGGUUUCAUUUCACACCCAGAUCCUCCAAAAGUUUCUUUUAUAGCAAGACCAUCUUUUUGGUCCCAUUUAUUUCUAGGAAGCCUGAACAAAGCAGUUUGGAUUUUGUAGGAAGGCAUGUGGUAGUGCACAGACAGCAGCAGGCUUUAGCUUGAUUUCCUAUGGAAAUAUGACUCAUGUUAACAACUAGGCUUGAUGUCUGUUACUGUCCUCUUUAUUCAUAACCUUGAUAACCUUUUUCAAUUUCAGCUAGACCUGACAGAUUGCUUCAGUUUUCAGAGACACUAGAAAGCAAAUUUCAAUAAAUUGGUAGUUGGGACAGAAGGUCCAAACCAUUUUUUAGUGAGAGAAAAAUUGGACAGAAUCUUAAAUGUAAUACCAGAAACCAGAGUGGCAACAGAGCGGCAAGCCAAUGUUAGUGCUCUAGUCAGGAAACAAAUUUUGGCCAGAAUUUGUUAUUCAGAGGAGAGUUCAACCACAAAACCUGGAGCUCCAGGGCAUCAGAUUUCAGGCACUCUGCUGAUCAUGGAACAAUUCAUGUUCCUAGGAAAGAAGAUGGCUUGUGACUGAAGUAUUUCUUUGUAGAUACAGACUUUUUCACAUGCUUUCAUUUGAAGAGAAUGAAAUCUUCUACUCUAAAAACUUAACAGAAAUUGAAGAAAACUGUGUUCUUUCUCUGAAUUUUGGAGACAACACGGGAAAUCCCACUCACCCAUUCACCUUUCUCUGAAGUCCAUCUACUCAUUCAUUUGCUUGAUGAUCAUACUUUUUUCUUUUUAUUUAUGAAUGAUAAAUAAGAAGUUAUUGAUUCCUUUUCAUAGGUGGCCAGAAUGGAGUAAUUUGUACCAGAGGUCAUUUUACUGUCAUCAUUUAUAAUAAGAGAUUAGAGACUGUAUUAGUCAUAAUUGUGGAGUAGUGAAACUGCAUCUAAUCUUAUAUACGGCAACAUUUUUUUCCCCUGUGUUUCUAUCAUUAUAAACCUACGUACAAUUCCUCUUCUGGAUUGAAGCAUCUCAUCUUUUGAACUCAGAAAGUGCUCCUUUUUUUAAUAAAAGAAUUCAAAGAAAUUCCCUGGUGUGAAGAAAAAUAUGAGGAAAGACAAGUGCUGUACUUUGCUAGAAACAGUCAUGGGGACAAAUACAAGGUGGGGAACAAUUGAGUAGGUGGCAGAUCUGCAAAAGGCAAUUUGCAUGUGAGUCAGCAGAUUUAUCCUGCUGCUAAAAAGGAAUCCUCAUACAGGCUAUAUAAAUAGGGGGAUGCUGUAUAAGGUAUGGAGAGUAAUACCUCUUCACCAUAUGAAUAAAGCCUCAUCUGGGAUACUGUGUCCAGCUAAGGGCGGAUAACAGUUCGAGAAAUGUCUGUACCAACUGGCAAGAAUCCAGAGGUGAAUGAACAACAAGAACUAAUAGAGGUUCAGAAAACACAACUUGUGAGAAAAGACCGAAAGAGUUGGGUUUGUUUAGUCUAGGGGAGGGAAGAAUGUGGAGAGACAUGAUAAUAGCCACUAUGAACAGGACAAGACAUGAUGUGUUUGAAUUGCUUCAACAGAAUAAGGUUGGGCAUCAGCAAAAAAAGCUUUUUAAUGGUAAGAUAGUGAAGUGGUGGAUUAGCUUGCUUCAGGAAGCUGUGGAGUCUUUCACUAGAUAUUUAAAGAACAAUUUAGAUAAACAUUUGCCAGGUGAGUUAUGAGACUGAAGUUUGCUUAUAUGUAACCCUGCCUGGGGUAGGAGAAUGGACUGGAUGGCCUCUUAAAGUUUAUGGCAGCCUAGUUUUAUCUCAAUUACACUAAAGAGCAAGUGAUUUUUUUACCAUUGUUUAAAAUCACAAUUUUCAAUCUUUUAAAAUACAUUUAAAGUGAAUGCGGCCUAAUCUGUUUCCUCACAGUAUUCCCACUUAUAUGCACAUCAGUGCAUGCAAACUAUUAUUUUGACUGAUUAUUAUCCUGACUAUUCAUUAUUCUGAACAUUUUAUGUCCAGAAACAAGUGACUUCAAAGGUUAUAUUAGAUUUAGACUUCUCCUUUCAUAGUAACUUUAAACUGUGCAAUAUAUAUUUUUAAAUAUGUAUACAUUAGUAUUUUAAAGAUUGAACGAUUCUGUUAAUAACUGUCUUAGUAAGCUUUAAAGUCUGAUACAUUUUCACUCAAGAUAGCAACUACUGGGGUAUAUAUGUUCUAGCAUGAAGAAAAUGUAGUAUUCUGUUACUGGUUUUCACUCUUUUUAGCUGUGCAAAAUAGAUACAGAUAAAAGGUAGCUGAAUUGGACUUUGGCUGAAAUAUCCUUUCCCUCAUAUCAGUUUUAAAUUUACUGAUGUUUAAUUCUACUGCUUUCCCUCUGUCUUUGAAUUGUACAUCAAAAUAAACAAAACUGCAUGGUUUGCAUUCCUUAUGCCAGUCUUUUCUAGUGCAUCCCUUCUCAUUCACCUCGCUAAAAUCCACAGACCUACUGUUUCCAGUCUGUCUUGCAGAUGUCUCUUUCUCCCUGCAAGCAUCACAACAGGGUGUUGCCUGGGUGCCUUCCAAGCAAUAGUACGUCACAUGCAGUGAGAGGAGGAGAGACAGCUGAGAACAGCAUCUUUGGAUCAGUAGCAGAAUGGCAGAUGGCUUUAAUUUGAUUUUCUUGACCAUUUUACUUAAACAAGUACAAAGGCAUUACAUAGAAGAAGGUUAUGUGGCAUGUUCUGGUAUCUUAAAUGAGACAGCAACUACUAACAGUGAUGGAAAAGUUUUGCAAGAGCCUUUCAGGAGGAUGAUACAGAAUAACCUGCUUCAAACACUAGAUUUCACCUUCGUUGCUAACAAUCAGAAAUUGAAAUGAAAAACUUGAAGAACACAACUUAAUAGUAGGAAUGUUGUAACUAAUAUCCUGGGAAGAAAGAAAAGCAAGUGUAACAGUGAAAUGUAGUACAUUCUUAGUCCCGCAGGCAUAGUUGGAAAAGAGAAACAAGCCACUGGAGAAAUAAAAAAUCAUACAAGAAGUUCAGUUAAAGUGUGAAACUUGAAGCUAAAUAUAGAUUUUUAAAGAUCUUAAAUUGUGGAUAUUUCUCUCAAUACGCCACAUUAAUUUAUUCCAUUUGGACUGACAAUUUAGUUGAAUCAAGAUGAAAAAGAGUUGUUAAUUUUUUUGGAGGAGAGGGUUAUUUUGCUAUGCACGUGACACAGAUCAGCAGGUGGGUGACAAGAUUGUAAUGAGCUAUAAACCCAGUAUCUGUAUCAGGCCAUUGUGUUUUAAUAUCUAAUAGAGUAACAAAUGUCUGUUUUCCAGAUGCAUAUUUUAAAGAUGUACUUCCCUGCAAAAUCAACUCAGAAAUACAACUAAUUU